GACGAACGCUGGCGGUGUGCUUAACACAUGCAAGUCGAACGGUAAGGCCCUUUCGGGGGUACACGAGUGGCGAACGGGUGAGUAACACGUGAGUAACCUGCCCUCAUCUCUGGGAUAACAGUCGGAAACGGUUGCUAAUACUGGAUAUGAGCUUGCAAGGCAUCUUUUGGGUUGGAAAGAUUUUUUUGGUUGGGGAUGGACUCGCGGCCUAUCAGCUUGUUGGUGGGGUAGUGGCUCACCAAGGCUUCGACGGGUAGCCGGCCUGAGAGGGCGACCGGCCACAUUGGGACUGAGAUACGGCCCAAACUCCUACGGGAGGCAGCAGUGGGGAAUAUUGCACAAUGGACGGAAGUCUGAUGCAGCAACGCCGCGUGCGGGAUGACGGCCUUCGGGUUGUAAACCGCUUUCAAUUGUGACGAAGCUUUUUGUGACGGUAGCAGUAGAAGAAGCACCGGCUAACUACGUG
Molecule: ribosomal RNA, 466 nt
Filed under: uncultured bacterium
Lineage: Bacteria
Description: partial 16S ribosomal RNA
Rfam family: Bacterial small subunit ribosomal RNA
Source: RNAcentral